RNAcentral lists this ribosomal RNA (253 nucleotides) under uncultured bacterium. RNAcentral's name for it is "partial 16S ribosomal RNA". It matches the Rfam family "Bacterial small subunit ribosomal RNA", at positions 524 to 776 of the family's 1533-position model. The record is from RNAcentral.
UACGGCGGGUGCGAGCGUUAUCCGGAAUCACUGGGUUUAAAGGGUGCGUAGGCGGCGAGGUAAGUCAGUUGUGAAAUUCCCCGGCUUACCGGAGGGACUGCGAUUGAUACUGCUUUGCUUGAAACAGGUUGAGGUAAGCUGAAUGUGGCAUGUGGCGGUGAAAUGCAUAGAUAUGCCAUAGAAAACCGAUUGCGAAGGCAGCUUGCUGGGCCGUGUUUGACGCUGAGGCACGAAAGCGUGGGGAGCAAACAGG